AUUGAACGCUGGCGGCAUGCCUUACACAUGCAAGUCGAACGGCAGCACGGGUGCUUGCACCUGGUGGCGAGUGGCGAACGGGUGAGUAAUACAUCGGAACGUACCUUAUCGUGGGGGAUAACGCAGCGAAAGUUGCGCUAAUACCGCAUACGCCCUGAGGGGGAAAGCGGGGGACCGUAAGGCCUCGCGCGAUUAGAGCGGCCGAUGUCUGAUUGGUUUGAUGGUGAGGUAAAAGCUCACCAAGGCGAUGAUCAGUAGCUGGUCUGAGAGGACGAUCAGCCACACCGGGAGUGAGACAGGGCCGAGACUCCUACGGGAGGCGGCGGGGGGGAAUUUUGGACAAUGGGGGAAACCCUGAUCCAGCAAUGCCGCGUGAGUGAAGGAGGCCUUCGGGUUGUAAAGCUCUUUUGUCAGGGAAGAAACAGCAGCUCUAACACAGUCUGCGAAUGACGGUACCUGAAGAAUAAGGGUCGGCUAACUCCGUGCCAGCAGCCGCAGUAA
This 501-nucleotide ribosomal RNA is filed under the name uncultured bacterium. Its description in RNAcentral is "partial 16S ribosomal RNA". It matches the Rfam family "Bacterial small subunit ribosomal RNA", at positions 29 to 523 of the family's 1533-position model. The record is from RNAcentral.